GGAUAUAAAGAAAAUGAAUUUAUUUUAAUUCCAACAAAAAUGAUUUACAAAAACAUUUGUAAAUUUAGUUAUUAAAUUUAUAUGCAUUGCAUAUUUAUUUAUAUUAAGCAUUUAGCAUCUACACGAGCUAUUUAUUUAAGCAAACACUGAACGAUUAUUACAGUUUUCAUAGUACAACCCGGAAGACUUUUUAUUUUAUUCAAUCACCUACCUCUCCACCACACUAAUCUUUUUCCCUACCACCACUAAUAUUUUCUUUUCCCUACCACUAAUCUUUUUCCCUACCACCACUAAUAUUUUCUUUUCCCUACCACUAAUAUUUUUCCCUACCACCACUAAUUUGUUUUCAUACCACUAUGCUUUGUAAAAAAAAAAAAAAAGCUUUUAGUCAUGCCCUUAUAUCCUUACUUCUCUCUGCACAACCAAAGUUGGAAUUCAUAGAAGCCUUUAAGCUCCAAGAGUAGUAUCAAAGUAAGGGAGAGCGUGGGAAACCUAGGGCGUAAAGUUAGAGUGAAGAUUGUGCUUCGAGGGCUUUGUGAUGACCAGGAGGAUUAGCGCUACUUUUCCCAAGACAGGUUUUUAUGUGUAUGAUCUUCAGGCUUUGCCUAACCAGGUUGGCUGGCUGGUGCUGACGGGACGGAGCUGAGGCUAGAGAUAAAUUCCUAUGUUAGACUUCCGCUGUAGCAAUUACUCUUAUACAUCUUUUGUUUUCUCAACUUAAGAUGACUUCAUUUGAGCUUCAAUUUAAAAUUUAUAGUUUUAUGUUAAUGAACGUCGGUUGUCAGAAGCAUGAAACAAAACUUGUGAUCCAAAGGGGCAUAGCCCGACUCUUUAUUUUAUUAUUCGGGUUUUAACAAGGUUGUUCCUUGUUUAUUUA
Salvia miltiorrhiza (redroot sage) is the source of this 877-nucleotide long non-coding RNA. RefSeq lists it as uncharacterized. The transcript has 3 exons. The record is from RefSeq and is a predicted model, not a curated record. Lineage: Eukaryota; Viridiplantae; Streptophyta; Magnoliopsida; Lamiales; Lamiaceae.